Molecule: ribosomal RNA, 875 nt
Filed under: uncultured archaeon
Lineage: Archaea
Description: bacterial SSU rRNA
Rfam family: Archaeal small subunit ribosomal RNA
Source: RNAcentral
UUCCGGUUGAUCCUGCCGGAGGCCAUUGCUAUCGGGGUCCGGUUUAGCCAUGCUAGUCGCACGAGUUCAGGCUCGUGGCGCAUAGCUCCGUAACACGUGGCCAAACUACCCUUCGGAGGAGCACAACCUCGGGAAACUGAGGCUAAUUCUCCAUACGACACUCAGCCUGGAAUGGCGAGUGUCCGAAACGCUGAGGCGCCGAAGGAUGUGGCUGCGGCCGAUUAGGUAGACGGUGGGGUAACGGCCCACCGUGCCAAUAAUCGGUACGGGUUGUGAGAGCAAGAGCCCGGAGACGGAAUCUGAGACAAGAUUCCGGGCCCUACGGGGCGCAGCAGGCGCGAAACCUUUACACUGCACGUCAGUGCGAUAAGGGGAUCCCGAGUGCGCAGGCAUAGAGCCUGCGCUUUUCUGAACUGUAGGGAGGUUCAGGAACAAGAGCUGGGCAAGACCGGUGCCAGCCGCCGCGGUAAUACCGGCAGCUCGAGUGAUGGCCGAUCUUAUUGGGCCUAAAGCGUCCGUAGCUGGCCGUGCAAGUCCGUCGGGAAAUCCACCCGCUCAACGGGUGGGCGUCCGGCGGAAACUGCAGGGCUUGGGACCGGGAGGCUUGAAGGGUACGUCCGGGGUAGGAGUGAAAUCCCGUAAUCCUGGACGGACCACCGAUGGGGAAACCACUUCAAGAGAACGGAUCCGACAGUGAGGGACGAAAGCUAGGGUCUCGAACCGGAUUAGAUACCCGGGUAGUCCUAGCUGUAAACGAUGCCUGUUAGGUGUGACUCCCACUGCGAGUGGGUGUUGUGCCGUAGGGAAGCCGCUAAACAGGCCGCCUGGGAAGUACGUCUGCAAGGAUGAAACUUAAAGGAAUUGGCGGGGGAGCA